RNAcentral lists this ribosomal RNA (1833 nucleotides) under Staphylococcus epidermidis. RNAcentral describes it as "bacterial LSU rRNA". It matches the Rfam family "Bacterial large subunit ribosomal RNA", at positions 1095 to 2925 of the family's 2925-position model. Lineage: Bacteria; Bacillati; Bacillota; Bacilli; Caryophanales; Staphylococcaceae. The record is from RNAcentral.
AGGAUGUUGGCUUAGAAGCAGCCAUCAUUUAAAGAGUGCGUAAUAGCUCACUAGUCGAGUGACACUGCGCCGAAAAUGUACCGGGGCUAAACAUAUUACCGAAGCUGUGGAUUGUCCUUUGGACAAUGGUAGGAGAGCGUUCUAAGGGCGUCGAAGCAUGAUCGCAAGGACAUGUGGAGCGCUUAGAAGUGAGAAUGCCGGUGUGAGUAGCGAAAGACGGGUGAGAAUCCCGUCCACCGAUUGACUAAGGUUUCCAGAGGAAGGCUCGUCCGCUCUGGGUUAGUCGGGUCCUAAGCUGAGGCCGACAGGCGUAGGCGAUGGAUAACAGGUUGAUAUUCCUGUACCACCUAGUAUCGUUUUAAUCGAUGGGGGGACGCAGUAGGAUAGGCGAAGCGUGCUGUUGGAGUGCACGUCCAAGCAGUAAGGCUGAGUGUUAGGCAAAUCCGGCACUCAUAAGGCUGAGCUGUGAUGGGGAGAGGAAAUUGUUUCCUCGAGUCGUUGAUUUCACACUGCCGAGAAAAGCCUCUAGAUAGAUAACAGGUGCCCGUACCGCAAACCGACACAGGUAGUCAAGAUGAGAAUUCUAAGGUGAGCGAGCGAACUCUCGUUAAGGAACUCGGCAAAAUGACCCCGUAACUUCGGGAGAAGGGGUGCUCUUUAGGGUUCACGCCCAGAAGAGCCGCAGUGAAUAGGCCCAAGCGACUGUUUAUCAAAAACACAGGUCUCUGCUAAACCGUAAGGUGAUGUAUAGGGGCUGACGCCUGCCCGGUGCUGGAAGGUUAAGAGGAGUGGUUAGCUUCUGCGAAGCUACGAAUCGAAGCCCCAGUAAACGGCGGCCGUAACUAUAACGGUCCUAAGGUAGCGAAAUUCCUUGUCGGGUAAGUUCCGACCCGCACGAAAGGCGUAACGAUUUGGGCACUGUCUCAACGAGAGACUCGGUGAAAUCAUAGUACCUGUGAAGAUGCAGGUUACCCGCGACAGGACGGAAAGACCCCGUGGAGCUUUACUGUAGCCUGAUAUUGAAAUUCGGCACAGCUUGUACAGGAUAGGUAGGAGCCUUUGAAACGUGAGCGCUAGCUUACGUGGAGGCGUUGGUGGGAUACUACCCUAGCUGUGUUGGCUUUCUAACCCGCACCACUUAUCGUGGUGGGAGACAGUGUCAGGCGGGCAGUUUGACUGGGGCGGUCGCCUCCUAAAAGGUAACGGAGGCGCUCAAAGGUUCCCUCAGAAUGGUUGGAAAUCAUUCAUAGAGUGUAAAGGCAUAAGGGAGCUUGACUGCGAGACCUACAAGUCGAGCAGGGUCGAAAGACGGACUUAGUGAUCCGGUGGUUCCGCAUGGAAGGGCCAUCGCUCAACGGAUAAAAGCUACCCCGGGGAUAACAGGCUUAUCUCCCCCAAGAGUUCACAUCGACGGGGAGGUUUGGCACCUCGAUGUCGGCUCAUCGCAUCCUGGGGCUGUAGUCGGUCCCAAGGGUUGGGCUGUUCGCCCAUUAAAGCGGUACGCGAGCUGGGUUCAGAACGUCGUGAGACAGUUCGGUCCCUAUCCGUCGUGGGCGUAGGAAAUUUGAGAGGAGCUGUCCUUAGUACGAGAGGACCGGGAUGGACAUACCUCUGGUGUACCAGUUGUCGUGCCAACGGCAUAGCUGGGUAGCUAUGUAUGGACGGGAUAAGUGCUGAAAGCAUCUAAGCAUGAAGCCCCCCUCAAGAUGAGAUUUCCCAACUUCGGUUAUAAGAUCCCUCGAAGAUGACGAGGUUAAUAGGUUCGAGGUGGAAGCGUGGUGACACGUGGAGCUGACGAAUACUAAUCGAUCGAAGACUUAAUCAAUUUUUAAA